This is a non-coding RNA of Acanthosepion pharaonis, 112 nucleotides long. Lineage: Eukaryota; Metazoa; Mollusca; Cephalopoda; Sepiida; Sepiidae. The record is from the annotation of a GenBank genome assembly.
UACAGCCACAUCAUGUUGGAACACCGGUUCCUGUAUGAUCCCCCAAGUUAAGCAACAUCGAGCCUGGUCGGUACCUAGAUGGGUGACUGCUCGGGAAUACCAAGUGCUGUUA